This 465-nucleotide ribosomal RNA is filed under the name uncultured bacterium. RNAcentral's name for it is "partial 16S ribosomal RNA". It matches the Rfam family "Bacterial small subunit ribosomal RNA", at positions 338 to 795 of the family's 1533-position model. The record is from RNAcentral.
CCUACGGGAGGCAGCAGUGGGGAAUAUUGCGCAAUGGGCGAAAGCCUGACGCAGCGACGCCGCGUGAGGGAUGAAGGUCUUCGGAUCGUAAACCUCUGUCAGCAGGGAAGAACGGUCACUGUGCUAAUCAGCAGUGAAUUGACGGUACCUGCAAAGGCAGCACCGGCUAACUCCGUGCCAGCAGCCGCGGUAAUACGGAGGGUGCGAGCGUUAAUCGGAAUUACUGGGCGUAAAGCGCUCGUAGGCGGUAUGUCAAGUCAAGGGUGAAAUCCCCGCGCUCAACGUGGGAACUGCCUUUGAAACGGGCAAACGGGAGUGUUGGAGGGGAGAGUGGAAUUCCAGGUGUAGGAGUGAAAUCCGUAGAUAUGUGGAGGAACAUCAGUGGCGAAGGCGACUAUCUGGCACAUAACUGACGCUGAGGAGCGAAAGCGUGGGUAGCAAACAGGAUUAGAUACCCUAGUAGUC